UACGAGGGGUCCUAGCGUUGUUCGGAAUCAUUGGGCGUAAAGGGUGCGUAGGUUGCUAUUCAAGUCAGUUGUGAAAUCCCCGGGCUCAACCCGGGAAGUGCUUCUGAUACUGUUUAGCUUGAGUACUGGAGAGGAUAGUAGAAUUCCAGGUGUAGUGGUGAAAUACGUAGAUAUCAGGAGGAACACCGGUGGCGAAGGCGGGUCUCUGGGCCGAUACUGACGCUGAGGAGCGAAAGCGUGGGGAGCGAACAGG
Molecule: ribosomal RNA, 253 nt
Filed under: uncultured bacterium
Lineage: Bacteria
Description: partial 16S ribosomal RNA
Rfam family: Bacterial small subunit ribosomal RNA
Source: RNAcentral